RNAcentral lists this transfer RNA (97 nucleotides) under Kwoniella heveanensis CBS 569. RNAcentral's name for it is "tRNA-Ser". Lineage: Eukaryota; Fungi; Basidiomycota; Tremellomycetes; Tremellales; Cryptococcaceae. RNAcentral also lists the same sequence under 1 other name. The record is from RNAcentral.
GGCAACUUGCGAUAGUGGUUAUUCGGUAGGUCUAGAAUGGGAGAAUCCCAGUUAACCUAUGCCGUCAGGCUCGCAUGUUCGAAUCAUGCAGUUGUCG